RNAcentral lists this small RNA (102 nucleotides) under Propithecus coquereli (Coquerel's sifaka). RNAcentral describes it as "Y RNA (ENSPCOG00000001455.1)". It matches the Rfam family "Y RNA". Rfam says of the family: Y RNAs are components of the Ro ribonucleoprotein particle (Ro RNP), in association with Ro60 and La proteins. The Y RNAs and Ro60 and La proteins are well conserved, but the function of the Ro RNP is not known. In humans the RNA component can be one of four small RNAs -- hY1, hY3, hY4 and hY5. Lineage: Eukaryota; Metazoa; Chordata; Mammalia; Primates; Indriidae. The record is from RNAcentral.
CCCAGGGCUGAAUGCAGCACUGUUUAUAACUAAUUGGCCACAACCAGUUACAGAUUUCUUUGUUCUUUCUCCACUCCCACUGCUUCACUUGACUCGCCUUAA